RNAcentral lists this small RNA (68 nucleotides) under Pedobacter sp. SG908. RNAcentral's name for it is "Flavo-1 RNA". It matches the Rfam family "Flavo-1 RNA". RNAcentral also lists the same sequence under 1 other name. Lineage: Bacteria; Pseudomonadati; Bacteroidota; Sphingobacteriia; Sphingobacteriales; Sphingobacteriaceae. The record is from RNAcentral.
AAAUAAACCUGAUAGUAACGGAAAGCUCGAAACGCAGUGGAGACUUGAAGUGAAUAGCAGGAACAAAC